AGAGUUUGAUCAUGGCUCAGAUUGAACGCUGGCGGCAGGCUUAACACAUGCAAGUCGAGCGGAGAAAGGUAGCUUGCUACUGACCUAGCGGCGGACGGGUGAGUAAUGCUUAGGAAUCUGCCUAUUAGUGGGGGACAACAUUCCGAAAGGAAUGCUAAUACCGCAUACGCCCUACGGGGGAAAGCAGGGGAUCUUCGGACCUUGCGCUAAUAGAUGAGCCUAAGUCAGAUUAGCUAGUUGGUGGGGUAAAGGCCUACCAAGGCGACGAUCUGUAGCGGGUCUGAGAGGAUGAUCCGCCACACUGGGACUGAGACACGGCCCAGACUCCUACGGGAGGCAGCAGUGGGGAAUAUUGGACAAUGGGCGCAAGCCUGAUCCAGCCAUGCCGCGUGUGUGAAGAAGGCCUUUUGGUUGUAAAGCACUUUAAGCGAGGAGGAGGCUACUUGGAUUAAUACUCUAGGAUAGUGGACGUUACUCGCAGAAUAAGCACCGGCUAACUCUGUGCCAGCAGCCGCGGUAAUACAGAGGGUGCGAGCGUUAAUCGGAUUUACUGGGCGUAAAGCGUGCGUAGGCGGCUUCUUAAGUCGGAUGUGAAAUCCCUGAGCUUAACUUAGGAAUUGCAUUCGAUACUGGGAAGCUAGAGUAUGGGAGAGGAUGGUAGAAUUCCAGGUGUAGCGGUGAAAUGCGUAGAGAUCUGGAGGAAUACCGAUGGCGAAGGCAGCCAUCUGGCCUAAUACUGACGCUGAGGUACGAAAGCAUGGGGAGCAAACAGGAUUAGAUACCCUGGUAGCCCAUGCCGUAAACGAUGUCUACUAGCCGUUGGGGCCUUUGAGGCUUUAGUGGCGCAGCUAACGCGAUAAGUAGACCGCCUGGGGAGUACGGUCGCAAGACUAAAACUCAAAGGAAUUGACGG
RNAcentral lists this ribosomal RNA (913 nucleotides) under uncultured bacterium. Its description in RNAcentral is "bacterial SSU rRNA". It matches the Rfam family "Bacterial small subunit ribosomal RNA", at positions 8 to 916 of the family's 1533-position model. The record is from RNAcentral.